This 104-nucleotide signal recognition particle RNA is filed under the name human gut metagenome. RNAcentral's name for it is "Bacteroidales small SRP". It matches the Rfam family "Bacteroidales small SRP". From Rfam's summary of the family: The non-coding component of the signal recognition particle in Bacteroides The record is from RNAcentral.
AGCUGGGUGAGUCCUGCACGACUAGCUCCCCGUGAAUCCUCCAGAUCUUGACCGAAGCAAAGGUAGCGGCGUUGUAGCAGUGCGAUGCAGAUCACUCACCCACU